UGAUUGGUUGCUGCAUUAAAUUGUGACGAGCUGGAAUCAGUUUUAAUUGUGUUAGGAGUAUGAUUAUCUUUUGAAUUUUGAUGACUGUUUGUCCGGUAGCUUAGACGAUUUUUGAUAUAGUGUAGUCAUGUGAUUUUCGGUUUCAGAACCGAUGCCUGUGACCUCCUGCAGGCCUCUUGAGGAACUGUCAUGAUGAUUGAUUUUGUUGACACAGAUUGAGGCUCAGUGUAUCAUAAUCGCAAGACAUAUAACAAUGAAGCGAAAACGUGCAAUUGGGGGGCAGAAACGUAAAACAACCGCGAGGAAAAAUAAACUUCUUAAUGAUGUGAUGAAUGAUGAAGCAGGAGAACCUGAAACUAACAUGAGCGCCCCACCUGUUGAUAAAUCUUUAUCUAAUGAGAGAACAAAUGAAAAUGCCACCUCACUUGAAAAAUACCCAACUGCAUUACGUGAGAUGAUUGUUUCGAUUAUUAAAGAAAUCUCUCAGGAACCGGGCGGCCUAGCUAACCUGUCAAGGAGCUUGGUUGAUAUUGAUACUCCAGUCAGCAGUGGACCGACAGUGCAACCUCUUGAGGGAAAUAAAAGCCCACUAAAUCAAAACAUUGAAUACAAGGAGCAGGAAUUAAAUGCCGCAUUAACAGUAAUUAUAACGACGAUGAAUUUGGAUGCAGCGGAUCCAUUUAACAGACCUGUAGAUCCCGUUGAACUUGAUAUACCUGAUUACUUUGAUGUUAUCAAGACACCUAUGGAUUUUGGUACAAUAUACAACAAUCUUAAGAAUGGUCGUAAGUACAUGAAUUCAGUAGAUGUGUUCAAGGAUGUACAAUAUAUUUGGUAUAAUUGUAUCAAAUAUAAUAAGAAGGGUGAUUACAUUUUGGAGCUCAUGAAUCGGGUCAAGACAUUCUUCAUGAAGCACUGGAUAGCAGCGGGAUUGCACACCGAACAAUCGACAUCUGUUGUUGAACCUAGCAUGCAUAAUGAGGAACAUUCUGGAAGCCCCGUUACUCAUGUUUCUGACUACCCAUUGGGUCCACUUGCCAGUAUUGCUUCCUGCCUGCAGCAAAAAGAUGCUGGUUCUAACCAAGUAGCAGAACAUCACCCCAUGCUAAACACACUGGCUGGUCAACCCCAGCAGAGCUUAAGUCAACCAGAGUCUUCCUCAGAACAGGAUGAGCCUGCCACUGAUGCAACAAAUGUUCAAAAGAAGCGCCAAGGUCGAGGUCGAGGGCCCACACGUUGCCUUAAAUUAUUAACUACAGCUGGACGGGUAAAAAUCAUCACCAACGAUCUGGGGCAGCCUGUAGGUCGUGAGGCAUCCCUAUUAACCAGCUUCUUAGGCCUCACCGCACGUGACGGGAACUUGGCUCCGCUUACUUAUUCUAGUUGGAGCAAAGUCCCCGAAGAGAACAAGGAGAACAUGUGGCAGAAAGUUCUGACAAAGUUUGAUAUUGACCCGUGUAGUCGAAGUUGGGUGGUGAAGUCGCUUGGAACUAAAUGGAGAAAUUUCAAGUCCCUUCUUAAGGCUACACAUUACGAUACUCACACGACUGAUGAGGAGCGGCUUGCUGACCGUGAUGAGAGGGUCCUUCCCGAUCAGUGGGCGGUUCUUGUUUCUCAGUGGAGCUCUGAAAAAUGGCAGCGUAUUAGUGCCAAAAAUAAAGCCAACCGCGCAAGGCAAAAGUUCAACCACACCUCUGGCAAAAAAAGCUUUGCAAGAAUACGUGAAGAGGAGAAAGCAAAACGUCCUGACGGGAAGGAACCCUCAAAAGCGGAACUAUUUAUAUUGACCCGAACGCGCAAAAAUGGUCAGCCCGUGAAUGAAGAAACAGCUGCUGUAAUUUCUCAACUUUGUGAAACGGAAACCAACAAGGAACAAUCAACGAUCAACAAAAACGAACCUCAAGAUGACGCGUACGAUCGUGUAAUGGGAGUUGAUAGAAAAGGCUCUGCGUCCCUACUCGGAUUAAACGCUGCCCCUUCUCAUUUUGGGUCUGAAAUUCCUACUCGGGCGGAGGCUUUAAGGAUGGUUAGUGAGAAGAAUGCAGAGGUUGUUGAAAUGAAGCAGAAACUCGCAUCGGUGGAGGAAACGUGCUCACAGAUGGCCGCUCAGAUGUCUGCCAUGAUGUCGAUGAUGGCUAACAUGCAAAAGGCUUCCCCUGGGACAAAUUUUAAUAAUGAAGCCUACCCCUCGGGACCUUGCGGUGAGCUCGGUAACACCAUCCCAUGUGGUUUGGGGCCGGGCAAAAAAACCCGAGCGGCCUCUCUCCAUCGCAUCUCCUUGUUGGUGGCACUUCGGUUCCAGUGAGUGUACCGUAUCAGUCGGAACCUAUCUCUACAUCUAAUCCUGAUGUUCCUUCAAGACAGACUCGUGGAAGAAAAAAGAGAAGGUAGAAAAACCCGCAAGGUGAUUUCAAGGGUUCAGGAAAAGCAAUCUUCAUGUGGGUAAUUUGCAACUUCUGUAAGAUGUCUUAGUAAAAGAUCUUCUAAAUAAACUUGUUAAUGAAGUUGAGUUAUCUUGAUUGCAACGCAGUUAUCUAGUAGGGAUAUUUAAUGUUACAUGUAAGAGUCAAGAGGAUGUUUCAAUUAUCUUUUAAUUUCAGACUUUUGACUUAGUAACCGAA
RNA transcript from Helianthus annuus (common sunflower), 2621 nucleotides. RefSeq lists it as uncharacterized. The transcript has 15 exons. The record is from RefSeq and is a predicted model, not a curated record. NCBI's taxonomy places the organism in Eukaryota, Viridiplantae, Streptophyta, Magnoliopsida, Asterales, Asteraceae.